RNAcentral lists this ribosomal RNA (468 nucleotides) under uncultured bacterium. Its description in RNAcentral is "partial 16S ribosomal RNA". It matches the Rfam family "Bacterial small subunit ribosomal RNA", at positions 28 to 507 of the family's 1533-position model. The record is from RNAcentral.
GAUGAACGCUGGCGGCGUGCUUAACACAUGCAAGUCGAGCGAAAAGACCAUGCGUUUGCGGGUUGCACGAUAGGCGAACGGGUGUGUAAAACAUGUGUAAAAUCCACUUAAAUGUGGGGUAUCUUUAGGGGAAACCGGCUAAAAUCCGGUAGGAGCUCCCGCUCCGUGGGGUGGGUUGGAGAAAGUCGGCGGUUCGGGAUCGACUCGAGGCUUAUCAGCUUGAUGGUCGGGUAGUUGUUUACAACGGCUUUGACGGGUAGGCGGCCUGGGCGGGUGACCGGCCACCUUGGGACUGAGAUACGGCCCAGACUCCUACGGGCCGCAGCAGUCGAGAAUAUUGCACAAUGGGCCCACGCCUGAUGCAGAAACGCCGCGUGCGUGAUGCCGGCUUUCUGGUUGUAAACCGCUGUCGCCUGUGACGAAGCGUGAUUGACGGUAACGGGUCAAGAAGCACCGGCUAACUACGUG